CGUUCGUCAGCGCUCCGCCUCCACUGCAGAGCCCGAGGUACGCUGCUGGACACGCAGAGCCCAGCGGGGCCAGACUGCGGCGGGACUGCGGAGAGCCGGGACCGCGCUCGGCUCUGGAUUCUUUCUUACAUCGUGCACAUCUCUCCUCCUUCAUGAAAUUCCUGUGGAAGAAAAUGGAUUUCCUGAGUGUGCUUGUUCUCGUCUUCUCGGUAGUGACUGUGAGCAGAGCCCAGGUGCAGCAGGAGCCGUCGGCAGAGACCAGCGAGGGCAUCGAAAUCAACAUCACCUGCUCACUCCCCAAUAUACUGUCCAAUGACUACAUCCACUGGUACCGCCAGCUCCCGGGCCGAGGACCCGCAUUCCUCGUCAGUGCCUUGAAGGGCUCCAAGGAGGUUCCGGACCCGGAGGGCCGGCUGUGGGUGUCGGCAGACCGCCGCUCCAGCGCCCUGUGGCUCGCCCGGCCCCGGCUCGGCGACGCGGCGGUGUAUUACUGCGCCGUGGGCACACGGGAAGCGAAGCCGGGGCUGCGGCCGGGCACGAACCGCUUAGGGCGGGUCGGGGGCGCAGUGCCGUCCGGGCCCGCAGGGGGCGCUGCCUGCAUGGCCGCCAAACUCCAUCCUGACCAGGGUGCACCUCCCUGAGUUCUCGACAGAAAUGAGCACUGCACCCGUGAUUCACUAAGCCCAAAUUGAAUCAGACGCAGCUGGGUCUGUUGUAAGACAGCUCGCCAUGUAUUUGUGGGGAACAGCAGACUGACACCACGGGAUGUGUUUGACACCUGAGGGACGUUCUCACAACUCUAUUCCAUCUUCUCUCCUCCUUCCCCAACGCAGCACAUAUGUGUAGCAGGAAGGAGACGGGACUAAAACCAGAACAUCAGCAAUGUGCUAAGUGAGAAAACAAAUUUAAGAAAUAUCGUAGUGGAAUGCAAGAAAACACAGUAUAAUACAUUAUCGUUGGAAUCCUCAGUGAAGUGAAUAAAUCAAAGAAAUGAACUAGAGUGUCCAAAAACCAAAGGCCUUGCUCUAAACGUGAAGGGAAGAUGGCUAGGGUGCACACACCAUGGUGAUGAUUGGAAAGAUAACAUCCCAGAACUCUUUAAGUCCCAGUGCACUGCAUGAAGUUACGAUGAAGAAUGCCAAUAACAAAAAUCAUAAAACCCUGACACCAGUGAGGUGAGGUGGGCUGGACUGCUGGGUUUCAUUUCUCUUCCUCAUCCUGCUACCCUAUGAAUAAAUUGUUGAUCUCCUUGGACUCCUCUCCCUCGGCUGUCCCUGCACAUCUGCAAACUGUGCUGGCAGCUCAUCAGGAGCCCUUAUCUGCUCAGAGCACUGCAGCCUUGCCCUGCCACAAAGGUCACCA
Meleagris gallopavo (turkey) is the source of this 1362-nucleotide non-coding RNA. The record is from the annotation of a RefSeq genome assembly. NCBI's taxonomy places the organism in Eukaryota, Metazoa, Chordata, Aves, Galliformes, Phasianidae.